Non-coding RNA from Lemur catta (Ring-tailed lemur), 818 nucleotides. Lineage: Eukaryota; Metazoa; Chordata; Mammalia; Primates; Lemuridae. The record is from the annotation of a RefSeq genome assembly.
UGUAGAGCAGUCUGUCCCCCUUAACACACGAGCCAGAUUUGGAUCAAGAAACUAGAGAAACAGCCCUCUCAGCUUUGAUGUAUCCCUGAACAAGACCUUCUACUGCUUCUCAGCUGGCCAUGCUGUCGGCUCCCUGCUCAGGACUUGUGAUCUUGUUGAUAUUCGGAGGGACCAAUGGAGACUCUGUGACCCAGACAGAAGGCCCAGUUACCCUGCCUGAGGGGAAAGCUCUGACCUUGAACUGCACUUACCAGAGCAGCUAUGCAGUUGUUCUUUUCUGGUAUGUCCAGUUUCAAAACAAAGAGCCUGAGCUCCUCCUGAAAAGCUCAUCAGAAAACCAGAAGAUGGACAGCAGAGGUUUUCAGGCCAAAAAUGUUAAGAGUGACAGCUCCUUCCACCUGAAGAAACCCUCAGUGCACCUGUCGGACUCGGCUGUGUACUACUGCGUGAUGAGAGACACAGUGAGAGGGACUGCGGGGGAGCCCUGCACAAACCCUGAGGGGCGCAGGUGGGGCCUUAGUUUGUGCAGCCCUGAGGAGGGGGCAUUAUUUCCUCUUUCCGGUGUUCUAUGCUGGGGGCUUCUUCCAACUACUUCCAGCUGUGAUCCAUUGGAGCCAAGGAAAAGUGGAGUUCUUGGAUUACUCUCCAGAGAGGAACUGGUGGGGACACAGUAUAAAAAGGGAGCUAAAUUCUGUUUUCUAGAAAUGCCUCUGUGUUUAGCCCACAUAUCUCUUCUUUCCCCCGAUGGCAUACAAUCCUGAAAAGUGACAUUAACUGCUACAUGGCAGUUCAAUUGCUCUUCACUGAAAUAUUUCAUA